Molecule: long non-coding RNA, 1055 nt
Organism: Drosophila albomicans
Lineage: Eukaryota; Metazoa; Arthropoda; Insecta; Diptera; Drosophilidae
Exons: 3
Source: RefSeq, a predicted model, not a curated record
GAUUGCCAACCAAAGCAACUAAAACUCCGCUUGCUAUUCGCUUUUUUCGAUUUUCGGAGUCAAAAGUGGGAAUAACAACAAUCAAAAUCAAGCUUGAUACUUGAUAACCAGUGUCGAAAAUAGAGAUAUAUAUAUUACAGUCUCUGAUAUGUAGUGGGCAUAGCAAUGCCCCCAUAUCGUCUCGAAUGUUGACGCUGAUCACAAAACUACUCCAUGGAUAGCGGGCAUAAAAAAAGUCAAUUUCAUUUGAGUCCUUAAGAAAACGUUGCUAUCGCAAAGAUAGUUGAAAGGAAAUUGCGGCUUCAUAUCAUUGGGUUAGAUUUUAACAAGCUCUCAAGGGGCUCUCGACACUAUGAAGCUUAUAUCCAAGCCACUAAUUUAUUUUAAUUACGACUAUUUAUCAGUUGCGGCAGCUGCAAAACCCUUUCACCAUGACCAGAGACCAUAGACCAGAGACCAAAGACCAGAGAGACGUUAGCUGGCUGGCAGCUGUCGAGCAACUUAUUGUUCUACAUUUUCCUCAAUUACCGCUCGAGCUUUUCUCGACUGCUGCUGCUUUUUCCAUGAUUUGUGGCUGUGCUGUUGCGCUUUUAAUUAUUGCGAUUAUUGUGGCAACAGUUUACAGUUUUCAAUUGUGGCAGCAACGACGCCUCGCCUCGCCUUGCAACAACAAAUAACACAAUAAAUGAAAAAAAAAAAGCAAACCCAUUGGAAGCAAAAAGAAACAAUUUAGCACGGAAUGAAUUGCUUAGAUAAGUGUGUGUGUUUUCUUAACUUUGUGAAUGUAUCUAACAGUGUCAGCGAGCAGUGAAGCGGCAGCAAUACUCUUGGCUCCAGCUUGAUAAUUAUAAUGAGUCAAUAAUGACGUUCAAACGGGCUGCGCUGGGUCGGGCCUGUCAACGUCAACGAGUUUCCCUCGGCUAAUGUAACUAUCUUGUAGUUCUAACUGCCCGUUUCUAUCUGAAAAAAAAACGCAUAGAUGCUUCUACCGCUCUCUUAGCGAUGUCAUAUCUCAAGCUUGUGUCACACAUACGAUAGAGAUACAAAUCAAAUUA